CAGUGUAUUAUUGGUAUUCUGUAUGUAUCUCAGAUUCUAUAUUUCUUGGUUCAGUCCUGGCAUAUCCCUAUUUCCGGCAUCUCGCGUUCUCUCCUCCAUCAGGGAAUAGGUUGCUGGAUGGUGUUGGUUGUAGCAAGGGAAUAUGCUGAAAUGGACAUUCUAUUGUUGAGGUCUUAGAACUGAUUUGGUGAAAGCAUGUGGAAUUUCUCCCAAUUUAUUGCCUCCAAGGACAAAGAUUUUUGGGGCUGGUUCUUACUCAUAUUUGGCUCUGUUUUCUUUGUGGGUUUCUUCUAUGCUGCAAUUAUAUUGAAGUUUCUUCCACCAUCUGAUAAUGCUCUCAUAUCUGCUAUACAGACGGACAGGUAUUACUGCUUCUUGGUGCCCUUGACAAUUCCUAUUCUUCUUGUUGCUGUAUAUUUUCAUUGGCUGAGUAUGAAAUUUUUCAAGCAUGCAUGAUUUUAUAUUCACAAGGUCAAAGACUGUCUGCUAUGAGUGUGUUUGAUAUAUGGUUUCAUAAUGUAUUUAUCUUUGCACAUUUUGUAUUGGAUUUUCUUUCAAUGAUAGUGACUUGUUGGGAUAGAUCUUAUACACGUGGAGAAAGAAGCUGGGGGCAAAAUUGUAAUUGUA
Non-coding RNA from Camellia sinensis, 627 nucleotides. The record is from RefSeq and is a predicted model, not a curated record. NCBI's taxonomy places the organism in Eukaryota, Viridiplantae, Streptophyta, Magnoliopsida, Ericales, Theaceae.